RNAcentral lists this microRNA precursor (85 nucleotides) under Vigna unguiculata (cowpea). Its description in RNAcentral is "miR399b stem-loop (vun-MIR399b)". Its record names the gene vun-MIR399b. The record is from miRBase by way of RNAcentral. Lineage: Eukaryota; Viridiplantae; Streptophyta; Magnoliopsida; Fabales; Fabaceae.
UAACAGUGUGAUUCUCCCUUGGCAGGUGCUACAUCUAUUCUUCAUCAGAAUGGCCUUUCUGCCAAAGGAGAAUUGCCCUGCCAUU